RNAcentral lists this ribosomal RNA (384 nucleotides) under Triticum aestivum (bread wheat). RNAcentral's name for it is "partial small subunit ribosomal RNA". Lineage: Eukaryota; Viridiplantae; Streptophyta; Magnoliopsida; Poales; Poaceae. The record is from RNAcentral.
AUGUUGGCCUUGAGCGCGCCGCCGGCGAUGCCCAUCAGGCCCUUGGACAGCGACACCCCCCGCUUGCCCGACUCGUCCUCCUGCUGGUACACGCACCGGAACGCCUUGUCGUCCGCCCCCUUGUGCGUGCGCACCGUGUGCACCAGCUGGUACUUGGACCGCCGCCGCGCCGACCGCCGGUUCGACAGCAGGAUCGCCGCGCCGCCCAUGCGGAACAGGCAGUUGGACACCAGCAUCGAGCGGUCGUUGCCGAAGUACCAGUUGAGCGUGAUGUUCUCCAUGCUGAUCACCACGGCGUACGUGCCGGGCUGCGCCUGCAGCAGGUCCUUGGCGAGGUCGACGGCGAUGAGCCCCGCGCUGCACCCCAUGCCGCCCAGGUUGUAG